CCUACGGGAGACAGCAGUGGGGAAUAUUGCACAAUGGGGGAAACCCUGAUGCAGCGACGCCGCGUGAAGGAAGAAGUAUUUCGGUAUGUAAACUUCUAUCAGCAGGGAAGAAAAUGACGGUACCUGACUAAGAAGCCCCGGCUAACUACGUGCCAGCCGCCGCGGUACUACGUAGGGGGCAAGCGUUAUCCGGAUUUACUGGGUGUAAAGGGAGCGUAGGCGGUGCAGCAAGUCAGAAGUGAAAGCCCGGGGCUCAACUCCGGGACUGCUUUUGAAACUGUUGAACUAGAUUGCAGGAGAGGUAAGUGGAAUUCCUAGUGUAGCGGUGAAAUGCGUAGAUAUUAGGAGGAACACCAGUGGCGAAGGCGGCUUACUGGACUGUAAAUGACGCUGAGGCUCGAAAGCGUGGGGAGCAAACAGGAUUAGAUACCCUAGUAGUC
Molecule: ribosomal RNA, 440 nt
Filed under: uncultured bacterium
Lineage: Bacteria
Description: partial 16S ribosomal RNA
Rfam family: Bacterial small subunit ribosomal RNA
Source: RNAcentral